UACGGAAGGCAGCAGUGGGGAAUAUUGCACAAUGGGCGAAAGCCUGAUGCAGCUAUGCCGCGUGUAUGAAGAAGGCCUUAGGGUUGUAAAGUACUUUCAUCGGGGAGGAAAAACAAAACUAAUAAUUUUAUUUCUUGACGUUACCCGAAAAAGAAGCACCGGCUAACUCCGUGCCAGCAGCCGCGGUAAUACGGAGGGUGCUAGCGUUAAUCAGAAUUACUGGGCGUAAAGAGCACGUAGGUGGUUUUUUUAAGUCAGAUGUGAAAUCCCUGGGCUUAACCUAGGAACUGCAUUUUGAAACUGAAAUACUAGAGUAUCGUAGAGGGAGGUAGAAUUCUAGGUGUAGCGGUGAAAUGCGUAGAUAUCUGGAGGAAUACCUGUGGCGAAAGCGGCCUCCUAAACGAAUACUGACACUGAGGGUGCGAAAAGCGUGGGGAGCAAAACAGGGAUUAGAUA
This 456-nucleotide ribosomal RNA is filed under the name uncultured bacterium. RNAcentral describes it as "bacterial SSU rRNA". It matches the Rfam family "Bacterial small subunit ribosomal RNA", at positions 340 to 784 of the family's 1533-position model. The record is from RNAcentral.